UUUGGUAACUGGGAAUCCAACUCGAGAACCUUCAGUUUUAUUUCACUUAAAAUAUCUUCAAAAUGGACUAGGUUUCUCAGGGCAAUGGUAUAGAGAGACUUUCACCUCUAGGUAGCUUGUUCAGAUCUGACCCAGAUGGAGAUAGAGUGGAAAAAGGAAAAAACCCAACCCAUUCUGUCAACAAGAAAGCCUUCCAAAGUGGUGAGACACAGCAGAGAUUUUGUUGGAAAUGAAGGUGCUCAGCUUCCAAGAUGGGAAGGCUGAGGCACAGAGAGACUAAUUCAUUUGUUUAAAGUUAGUCAGGAUGUCAGUGGCAGAGACCAAAGUAAGAACUGGAAUUUUUGUUUCCCAAC
Mauremys reevesii (Reeves's turtle) is the source of this 353-nucleotide long non-coding RNA. RefSeq lists it as uncharacterized. The record is from RefSeq and is a predicted model, not a curated record. The transcript is spliced from 3 exons. NCBI's taxonomy places the organism in Eukaryota, Metazoa, Chordata, Testudines, Geoemydidae.